This 263-nucleotide long non-coding RNA is filed under the name Papio anubis (olive baboon). RNAcentral describes it as "lncRNA (ENSPANG00000051313.1)". Lineage: Eukaryota; Metazoa; Chordata; Mammalia; Primates; Cercopithecidae. The record is from RNAcentral.
AUUAUAUAACAGUGCUAGAGUACUGAAAUUAAGAGCUGGGCUCUGAAGUAAACCUACUUGGAUUCAUAGUUGGGUUACUGAUAACACAGGCCGGGUGACCUUGGAUUGCUAAAGACAAAAACACAAUCCAAAUAAAUUAAAUUCCAGAAAGAGAAAAGCCCUUUCUAUGAGAGAAAAACACAAAAUCUGUGGGCAUGUAAGGAGAAAGAGCAAACCUGCUAUAGACAGAGGAAAAACUAAUGGAAAACAUGGUUCACAUGUGG